CAAGUAAACUAGAUGAUCGCGGGUACCAGUCCGAAAGGAGGUAUCCGAGGAAAGUCCGAGCUCCAUAGGGCAGGGUGCUGGAUAACGUCCAGUGGAGGUGACUCCAAGGAUAGUGCCACAGAAAUGUAGACCGCCUAAGUUUGGCCUGAUUGCUAAACUGGCAAGGAUGGAACGGUGCGGUAAGAGCGCACCAGCGGUUGGGUGACUAACCGGCUAGGUAAACCCCACCUGGAGCAAGACCUAAUAGGGGGACAAUGAGGCUGCCCGUCUCGUCCCCGGGUAAGGUUGCACCGAGGCGUUAGGUAACUAACGUCCCAGACAGAUGAUCAUCCAUGACAGAACUCGGCUUACGGUUUGCUCGUGGC
RNAcentral lists this RNase P RNA (365 nucleotides) under Bacillota bacterium. RNAcentral's name for it is "RNase P RNA component class A". It matches the Rfam family "Bacterial RNase P class A". From Rfam's summary of the family: Ribonuclease P (RNase P) is a ubiquitous endoribonuclease, found in archaea, bacteria and eukarya as well as chloroplasts and mitochondria. The record is from RNAcentral. Lineage: Bacteria; Bacillati; Bacillota.